Molecule: ribosomal RNA, 560 nt
Filed under: uncultured Pseudomonas sp.
Lineage: Bacteria; Pseudomonadati; Pseudomonadota; Gammaproteobacteria; Pseudomonadales; Pseudomonadaceae
Description: bacterial SSU rRNA
Rfam family: Bacterial small subunit ribosomal RNA
Source: RNAcentral
GGGGGAUACGUUCCGAAAGGAACGCUAAUACCGCAUACGUCCUACGGGAGAAAGCAGGGGACCUUCGGGCCUUGCGCUAUCAGAUGAGCCUAGGUCGGAUUAGCUAGUUGGUGAGGUAAUGGCUCACCAAGGCGACGAUCCGUAACUGGUCUGAGAGGAUGAUCAGUCACACUGGAACUGAGACACGGUCCAGACUCCUACGGGAGGCAGCAGUGGGGAAUAUUGGACAAUGGGCGAAAGCCUGAUCCAGCCAUGCCGCGUGUGUGAAGAAGGUCUUCGGAUUGUAAAGCACUUUAAGUUGGGAGGAAGGGCAGUAAGCUAAUACCUUGCUGUUUUGACGUUACCGACAGAAUAAGCACCGGCUAACUUCGUGCCAGCAGCCGCGGUAAUACGAAGGGUGCAAGCGUUAAUCGGAAUUACUGGGCGUAAAGCGCGCGUARGUGGUUCGUUAAGUUGGAUGUGAAAACCCCGGGCUCAACCUGGGAACUGCAUCCCAAACUGGCGAGCUAAAGUACGGUAGAAGGUGGUGGAAUUUUCUGUGUAACGGUGAAAUGCGUAAA